RNAcentral lists this ribosomal RNA (402 nucleotides) under Bacteroidota bacterium. RNAcentral describes it as "Bacteroidetes bacterium partial 16S ribosomal RNA". It matches the Rfam family "Bacterial small subunit ribosomal RNA", at positions 355 to 776 of the family's 1533-position model. Lineage: Bacteria; Pseudomonadati; Bacteroidota. The record is from RNAcentral.
UGGGGAAUUUUGCACAAUGGGGGAAACCCUGAUGCAGCGACGCCGCGUGAUUUAGAAGGCCUUCGGGUUGUAAAAAUCUUUUCUAUGGGAAGAAAAUGACAGUACCAUAGGAAUAAGGACCGGCUAACUACGUGCCAGCAGCCGCGGUAAUACGUAGGUCCCGAGCGUUGUCCGGAUUUAUUGGGCAUAAAGCGAGCGCAGGCGGUUAGAUAAGUCUGAAGUUAAAGGCAGUGGCUCAACCAUUGUAGGCUUUGGAAACUGUUUAACUUGAGUGCAGAAGGGGAGAGUGGAAUUCCAUGUGUAGCGGUGAAAUGCGUAGAUAUAUGGAGGAACACCGGUGGCGAAAGCGGCUCUCUGGUCUGUAACUGACGCUGAGGCUCGAAAGCGUGGGUAGCAAACAGG